This is a long non-coding RNA of Folsomia candida, 1025 nucleotides long. RefSeq lists it as uncharacterized. NCBI's taxonomy places the organism in Eukaryota, Metazoa, Arthropoda, Collembola, Entomobryomorpha, Isotomidae. The transcript is spliced from 3 exons. The record is from RefSeq and is a predicted model, not a curated record.
UUGUAACGCAUCACUGCACCACGUUGCACAUUCAAGUAGCCAUAUUUUGUUUGAUUAAAUUAUCUUCGAUAAGAAAAUUAAGAAUGAAGAUUAUGACGGAUCAGGCUAUUUGCUCAAAAGCUAUUUUCAAACCGGAAACAGUGAUUGAAGUCAGAAGUCAAUCAUUCUCCUCUGGUAGAAAACAAAUUUCAAACGCUAAUUCUCAGAAAUUAGAGUGGUUUACUACAAUUGGAUUCGGAAUUGUGGCUCUGGUGUUACUAACAGGGACUUACCAUACAGUAAAUAAGCUGGAUGAGAUUUCUUCAGAAUUAAGGGAUACGAUGAGAGAAAUAAAGAAAGAAUAAAGGGAAGUGAUUAAACCUCCACCUCGGUACGAAUCUACCACGCAAAGUUAUUGGAAUGAAGUUGGUUGGUUUCUUUCAAAAAUCGCUCAUGGCGAGUUCACACAAUCUGAACUUGAGAAGAUAAUUACAAAUAUUAUGCAAGAUACCGACGAGGAAAUGGAUGCCUCUGAGAUAAAGAAAAACGUGGAACUUGUCAUGAGUCAGGUCUACGGCAAGGACCAAGGCUCAUGAAAACUGAAAAUUGACAUCAUCAACGCUAUCAUCGAUUUGACGAUAUAGCAGCGUGUCUAUUUUUGUCAUACAUUAUUGUCAUACAUACAUUAUUGCAUGAUGUAUGUAUGCGUAUUACAUAAUUUAAAAAAAUCUCUCCACGAUAAUUCAUACUUGGAUUAAUCACAGACUGUUUAGCUAUGGCAUAUUUAUGUAAUUUCAAUGUGUACAAAAAACCUGAUUAAACUGUGUCACUCGAUCAUACACUUUAAAUCCAUGUCACAUAGGCAAUCCUUCAUCGUGGAUCUUAUUGCGAACGAACAGCCCGUACUUUUCUGAUCACCAUAUUCCCGAAUUAGAUACUUUUUGAAGUGAAAACAAUUUCCCAAUUCAUCAACACUCUUGGUAGUACAUAAAACCAGACAAAGAACAGUCAAUAAAGGACAUUGGAUGAAAAUAGAGACGAUGAAA